Corythoichthys intestinalis (scribbled pipefish) is the source of this 5716-nucleotide long non-coding RNA. RefSeq lists it as uncharacterized. The record is from RefSeq and is a predicted model, not a curated record. NCBI's taxonomy places the organism in Eukaryota, Metazoa, Chordata, Actinopteri, Syngnathiformes, Syngnathidae. The transcript has 3 exons.
UAAAGAUUAAAAGUUGUCAUAAUUUGACAAAUUUUCUAAAACAUGAAUCCGCAAUACAUCCAUUACACUAUUUAGACUCAAGUAGAGUGACAAAAUGAGAAUUUUAGUAACAACAAUGAACCGACUGGGCUGGCAGUGUCAGAUCAUAUUUCAGUGCCAUCAAGGAUACAGUUGACCAAUCUCUUUGAACAGCCCUUCCAAUUCAAAUAGAUUGGACAUGAGUUAAUGUAAACACUACGACAUUCCUACUUACUACUCUCGCCCAAUGGUCAAAAUACACACUAAUAUGGGAAUGAUUUCUUCAUCAUUUCCAUCUGUCUUUGAUUCAUCAGUUGCAAAUUACUACAUGUUUCAUCAUGUACUGCAAUAAUACGACAACAUUUUGGUCUCAUUUCUAAGUGUUACCGCUGUUCAUAUUGUUACGGUGAGAUGGAAACAGUGUUUAGAUCUUGCAUUGUUUGCUCCAGGCUCUCGCAGUUUGAGAUUCCGUUUGAGAUAUUUACUAAAUGUGACUAAUGUGUGCAAUAUGUCAAUAGGCAGUGUCCCAGUUUCAGUGUGGAGCAUUGCUCUUCCAGCUACAGCUGAGGGCUCUGAUGUCUUAUGUUCCAGCUGCAGAACAGUGAGAAAUGAGACUCAAGUGAUGGUGAUGUGGCCUGACUUCUUAGUAUGACACACCAGGGACGUCCUGGGAGUGCAGAGUCCCCACAGGUUCCUUGGGAAGACACGAGCUCAUUCAAAAUGAUUAAACAGUCAAGUCCUUCCCGGCCCUCGCAAGUCAAGGCUGACUUUCUAUGAAUAUCAAGGUGCAAUUUAAAUCAACAGGAUAUGUUUGGAUGAUAAAGUGCAUCGAGUGUGAAAUAAGGCAACGUAAACUCCCCACACGCCAGUAAUUAUCUGCUUCAGUGAAGAUCAAUGUCUGAGCGAGAGCAUUUUUGUGUUUGAAUUCUUUAGAAUCAAGCGCACAGGUGGGCCAAAAACAAAACAAGAAAAGGACACAAUGAGAAAAUCAAAACACACAGCCAAUUAAAAGUUGAUUGUCCCUGAUGACAAGUUGACAUAAAAAAGAUUUCACAUUUUCCCUUCGCGAUUGUGGCUAUCGUCUCCUGUGCAGCGGCAGGACUGUGACAUUUUCAAAGUCAAGGUAACGCGGGCCAAAAUGGAUUGUAAUUAAAGUUGACAUCAGGUGCCUCAUGCGCCUUCCCUUCUCCACCACAGGCUUUCAUCUAAAUGAUUCAUGCAGAGAACAGCGGGCCUUUCAUGCAGUUAGGACCUCACAAAGGAAUAACAACGAGAUGGCACAAAGCAAGCGGACACAGAUUUACAAUGACACCACCGCCUCGCAUCAAGUCAAGUCAGACCGAUGCAGGGGCACUCAGCUCAUAUUUUGAGUCAUUGCUGGGAAAUGUAGGGGUGUAAAUGGAAUAAGGGGGAUAAAAAUGGAAAUAUAAUAGAAUCACAAAGCGUAAUGAAGACGAAAUGUGGCAAAAUGCUCCGCUUCCAGGUGUGAACCUUUUCCAACAGGCUGGCCAGAUUGUCUGAAUAGGAACCACGUCUCAAGCUCACGGCGUCCACGCUGGAACACUGACGUGGUGUGAACAAAAGCAGAACAUUGAAUUAUUCUUUUCAACUGUGCCACACACAGGUAAAGGACACACAAUCGUUGAAUAGAAGCAGGGAAAAUUGUAGCUUUUUGUAUCUUACAUAAGUGGGUGGAGGGCUUCAUCUUGAUGUGACAAAGGCUGCUUUGAAUUAAAGAUGAGAUCUCUGUGUCUUUUGUCAAGUUAUUGCGAACAACACACAACUGUGAGGUACACAAUGUCUACAGUCUGCAAAACGCUGACACGGGUGCAAAAAAUAGCUUUGGCUAAUGGCAGGAGAAACGCUAGAAAAUCGCUUAGAAACAUGUCUGCCAUUUGCUCCUGCCUUAUCAGGUGAACCGAUGCGCACUGAGAGAAAGAAGGAUUAGGAACCACCUGUAAAAGACACAAGUGACUGGAGCAACCUGAUUCGUAAACAAGUGUUGGACUAUUGCGAAAGUAACUUGGCACUGUUUUAAAAUAACUAGUCCCAGUAACGAGUGGUGUAAGGCACUACUUCAAUGAAAAGACUAAUAAUAUUACACGCACUGCAGAGUACAGAAGAACAUCUGGGAAGUGCUUUUGGUGAUCCUUCAGAUGAAAAAUUGUCCCAGUUACAGAAGACAUCGUCAUGGUGCCAUCAAAAAAGGAGAUGAACUUUCUUCUUGAGCUGAUAGAGGUCGGGUUGCGGGGGCAGCAGCUUCAGAAGGAUAGGCCAGACGUCCCACUCCCUAGCCACUUCAGCCAGCUCUUUUUGGGGGAUCCCAAGGCGUUCCCGGGAGUCGUAGUCUCCCCAGCGUGUCCUGGGUCGGCCUCUCGGGCACCUUCCCAUGGGACAUACCCGGAACACCUCACCAGGGAGACGCUCCGGAGGCAUCCUAAUCCGAUGCCCGAGCAACCUCAUCUGGCUCCUCUUGAUGCAGAGGAGCAGCAGCUCUACUACAAGCCCCUCCCGGAUGGCCGAGCUUCUCACCUUAUCUCUAAGGGACAGCCCGGACACCCUAUGGAGGAAACUCAUUUCGGCCGCUUGUAUCCGAGAUCUUGUUCUUUCGGUCACGACCCACAGCUCGUGACCAUAGGUGAGGGUAGGAAUGUAGAUCGACCAAUAAAUAGAGAGCGUCGCCUUUCAGCUCAGCUCAGCUACCUCUUCACCACGACGGACCGAUGCAGAGUCCAUAUCACUGCAGACACAGCAACGAUCCGCCUUUCGAUCUCCUGUUCCAUUUUUCUAAGUUGUUACAUUUAUCAUUAUUAAAGCAUCCAGUGGGGCAUCACAAUACAAUUAGUCCACGACCGCAUAUAUCAGCAUUGGUUUGAUAUUGGUAUCAGAUUUUUGGAGUUGGAAAAUAUCGGGAUAUCAGUCAUGAAGUCAUUAUUCGGACAAAUCUAGUCUUUCAAAUUGAGUUUACGUGCAUUGGGACAACAUAGUUGUCGUUCAUGCAGCUCACUGUGUUUAAUAUCAUGGUGAAAGCCGAUGCUAACAAGUCUAUGCAAAAUUCCUCGGCACCACCUGGCCCACAAACUUUUCUCGCCUGGACUCUGAGCAGUGUAGCUUGUACCUGUUGCUGCUCUAACUGGAUGGGAGCAUCAUCUUGCGUCAGAAGAGCAGAGCAGUUGUAGAUUUAAAGAACUGUUUCAGUGUCUCCAGUAAGAUAUUGUCUGAUGAUUUAGGAGAUUAUUAUUUUGUACAUGGUUUAUCAUAGGACAAAGAUGUUUUCAUCUUGGGGUGGCAUAUUAGGCAGACGUAGGUGGAGCGUAGGCCGAGCGUAGGCCGAGUGUAGGCGGAGCGUAGGCCGAGCGUAGGCGGCGGGUAACAUUACCCGUCUACAUUAGCCGUCUAACAACUAAUCCAUACUAGUGUAGCCGACAUGUGGUAUAGUCCAAGUUUUUACUUAAUUAGCUCCGGGCCUUCGCCCUGCGGCAAAUGGCAAUUACCAGUACGACAUAUUGGCAAGCUCAGCUGACAACAACGUUCAAGUCGGAGUGUCUUGCACAACAACAACAACAACAACAUGCUCUAUUACCUUGAUACUGUUGUUUCUUUUAUUCUCCGAUUUUUUUCUUUCGUUUCUCUGCUUCAGAAGGAUAGAUUCUCUUCGAAAUAUUCGUGCAUCUAUUGUCCAAGCAAGUUUGAGCACCAAUCAUGGCAAAGCAGGUUCAACGUCACUCCCCAGGUUGUCACAUUGUAAUGACAAGAAAAUGGUUGUUUGCAUAGAUAAACGGCAAUGCGCGCCACAUUAUUCACGAUGCUCUAUUAACAACAUAUAAAAUGAGGUUGCCGGAUUGGGGUCCCCCUAGUGGUGGCCCUAAGCAGCUGCAUAGUCUGCGUAUAGGCUGGGCCGGCCUUGCUUAUAGGCUGCCAUUGACGGCGAUAGACGUUCAAACCAUUUUAACUCAGAGGGCUACCAGGCCUCACAGUUAAAAUGGAUUGCAAGUCUGUCGUUGUCAAUGGAGUUAACAUUCAUUAUCAUCUCACACCUUACCGUAAAAUGUACAGUAUGCAUGUCGCCAGUGUAUGGUUUUUUUUCUGGGAUUUUUUUUGUAUUAUUAUUUCAUUGAAAAUAUGCAAUGCAAACACAGUGGCUGUACUCAAGCAAUACAACAAAAGCAAUUAUUAUAUUAUUCAUCAAGAUUAACUGGUAAUAACACAAAGCAUUUUGUUAGUGGCUACACUUUGCUCCAAGGCAGAAAACGUUCAUUGUUCACCAUCAUUACAAUAAACUGUGUCUCCUCUGCAGGAGCGCAGCGUUUGGCAAGAUAAACAAAAGCGAGAUGUAAAUACUCACAACAGUGAAGACGCUCCUUGUCGCUUUUCUCCCCAUGAUUAGCAUUUCAAACACUUUUAUUUUCGUACAUUGCAGGAAUGUCUGCAUGUUUAUCCUGUGGUCCAUCCAAUCCACAAUCGAAACGCAGCCUGUGUGUGUACGUGCGCGUCUUCCCAGUCCAAAGGGAUCGACCUCUUUGUAAAACUCAGAGUGGGUCUGCAGAAUUGUCCACUGUUAUAGAUGUUAUAUUAUUUGUGCUUUUUUUAAUGGGCAGGGAGAAUGCAAACCAAUGGCUGGAGCCUGUUGAAAAUCCACAAACAAUAACCAGACCCAUCCUAUCUUUGAAUGCAUGUGCAUGUGCUGAUCGUAUACAGUAAAUGCACCACUGGGACAAUUGGGGAAAAAAUGUUCACAACAGUCAGUUCUUUUUUUGUCUUCACAAAUAGAUUGUCCACACAGGAUUACUAUGACUAAAUAUGUGUUUAACACAGUCAAUGUUAAAAAAAAAAAAAAAAAAAAAAAAGUUCCUCUCAUAUCAUCUAUUUUUUAGUGUAGUCUUUGUGAAUCCAACAGUCCUCAGGUUCCAGAGUUGCUUAGGAUUUGCUCUGAUUGGACGUUGCUGCUAAACUACCGUGCCACCUAAAACAAAAGUAGAACAACAAGCAUUUUGCAAUUGCAAUAGAACCUUAUUCCAACAAUUUGAAAAUUGAUUUAAUUUUUAACAUUUAACCUAAAACAGGGCAGAUUAUUCUUCUUCUAACUAACCGAUUUGAGAUCCUAGUAGGUGUACUGCAGGGCAAACCUUGCCCCUGCUUGAUUAGCAUCAUUCUUGACUAUACUGUACUUUGUACCUUCACGUCCUGUAUCCUCUUUUUGUUGUGAGACCAUAUGACACCUUUUUAUUGGAUUAAAUCUGCUUUGAAAUCCCAAAUUCAUGUUGACUUUUCGUGACAGACGCGUGAUGGUUGAGUGAAGCAUCAUAGCUCCAUGAAAUACUAUAAAAUGUAAAGACUGAAUCCAGUUAGUAAUAUUGGUAUGCCUAUAUGGGAAGGGAGGAGGGAUUAACCAGUUUGCUUUCUGAGUCAAACGCUAGUUAGCUCACAAUACAAUGAUUUUCUUAAAAUGCCCAUAAUGAUUAUUAAUUCUGCAAGCCUAUUACUAUUUAUGAGUUUCUUUAGUAGAACCCAACUUCUUUGUCAUUCUUCUGGCUACAAGUGAAGAGCGAAAAACAUGCUAUAACUCAUAAAUUUCUUGAUGGAUACCUGCUGUGUAGUCAAAGACUGCAAAUGAGAAAAGUCAAACUGAGUAACAGUAACUAACAGUGGGUUGACCAUUCAGUAGCAUCAACUGAACUGGAUUGAAUUGAAACUUUUC